GACGAACGCUGGCGGCGUGCCUAAUACAUGCAAGUUGAGCGCUGAAGGUUGGUACUUGUACCGACUGGAUGAGCAGCGAACGGGUGAGUAACGCGUGGGGAAUCUGCCUUUGAGCGGGGGACAACAUUUGGAAACGAAUGCUAAUACCGCAUAAAAACUUUAAACACAAGUUUUAAGUUUGAAAGAUGCAAUUGCAUCACUCAAAGAUGAUCCCGCGUUGUAUUAGCUAGUUGGUGAGGUAAAGGCUCACCAAGGCGAUGAUACAUAGCCGACCUGAGAGGGUGAUCGGCCACAAUGGGACUGAGACACGGCCCAAACUCCUACGGGAGGCAGCAGUAGGGAAUCUUCGGCAAUGGACGAAAGUCUGACCGAGCAACGCCGCGUGAGUGAAGAAGGUUUUCGGAUCGUAAAACUCUGUUGGUAGAGAAGAACGUUGGUGAGAGUGGAAAGCUCAUCAAGUGACGGUAACUACCCAGAAAGGGACGGCUAACUACGUG
RNAcentral lists this ribosomal RNA (497 nucleotides) under uncultured bacterium. Its description in RNAcentral is "partial 16S ribosomal RNA". It matches the Rfam family "Bacterial small subunit ribosomal RNA", at positions 28 to 507 of the family's 1533-position model. The record is from RNAcentral.